This 253-nucleotide ribosomal RNA is filed under the name uncultured bacterium. Its description in RNAcentral is "partial 16S ribosomal RNA". It matches the Rfam family "Bacterial small subunit ribosomal RNA", at positions 524 to 776 of the family's 1533-position model. The record is from RNAcentral.
UACAGAGGGGGCAAGCGUUGUUCGGAAUUACUGGGCGUAAAGGGCGCGUAGGCGGCCUGCUAAGUCGAACGUGAAAUCCCCGGGCUCAACCCGGGAACUGCGUCCGAGACUGGCAGGCUCGAAUCCGGGAGAGGGAUGUGGAAUUCCAGGUGUAGCGGUGAAAUGCGUAGAUAUCUGGAGGAACACCGGUGGCGAAGGCGGCAUCCUGGACCGGUAUUGACGCUGAGGCGCGAAAGCCAGGGGAACAAACGGG